CGCGAAGCCGGCUCAGAAGCCCGUGGCCCGCGGAGAGGCCGCGCGCACCGGAGGCGGCCGCGUCCUUCCUCCUCCCGAAGUGCAGGCAGAGCGCCCGGAGCCAUGGCCAGCGCUCCCGGCAGCCCCGAGGACGCGGGCAAGGCCAGGGGCAGGGACGGCCGGCCGAGGGGGGACGAGGACGACGCCCCCCCGGAGGAGAAGAGGCUGAGGCUGGGGCUGGAGGGCGGAGGCGCGGGGACCGAGGACGGGGAAGGCGCGCCGCGUCUGGGCAGCGACGGCCCGGGCACCCCGGCAGGUGGCGAAGGCGGAGGCGAUCCGCCGUCCCUGCCGUGUAGCCUGGCCGAGGAGCAGGCUGUUCUGUGCCGUCUCAUUGGCAGACUCUGUCCCCACCGAAGUACCUCGUUCCCAAAGCCCAGACGUGGGGAUUCCAGUUUUGCCUCCAAAGUCUGCAGCAUCUGUGACCUUGGGCCAGACGCGAGCCUCGUGAGUCGCGGGGGAGUUGUCAGCCUCUGCCCGCGUGUGUCAGGGAGAGAGCAAGGAUGUGAAAGGAGAGUGGGCUGGGCCGUGGCCGGCUUUUACGCGUGCACAGAACCGGGCAGUGGGGAAUCACUCUGGGGGCAUGGGUGGAUCGUGUGCAGGUGCCCACGGGUGAGCGUGAGUCCCUGCUCUGGAGAGAGGGAGGCCAAUGCUGCGGUCCACGCCCGAGGGUGUAGCGGGAGGAGGUCUUGGCUGUGGGCUCCCCUGUCCCCCAAGUUCUCUGGGGGGCGGUGCGUUCCCGGGGACUGUGGGCCUGUGGCGGGGGAGCCACGUCGGCUUGCCAGUGGGUGGGCGUGUUGGGAUUGGCACAGAGGGAUCAGCGAAGGGCAGAGCAAGGUGAACGCUAACCGGCUGGUGACCCGUUAGGAAUCGGAUGCCUGAGAGCUUUCGCUUGCCGGGCGUCUGGGGUGGGCGAAUGGGGGCUCAGAGAUGGAGAUGGGCAAGGCGACUGAAAGUCCCAGUGGCAGGUAUUGUCCUCGGUGCACCCUCUCCACCCCUUUUCCUUAUGCUCCCAAAGCGCUGGUGGCUUGUAGCCCCUGCCACCUGCCUCUGCCUACUCUCCUGUCCCCGUCUUGCUGUGCCCGGCUGCUUCACCAUUUGAUCCCAUCUAAGAGAGGCUGUCCUUGGUCUCCGGCCACACCGUGUUCACGUCCUUCAUCUCGCGUCACUCUCACGCCCAGCUUGGUCGUCUGUUUGCACGGGUCUGCCCGUGGGAGCCA
RNAcentral lists this long non-coding RNA (1256 nucleotides) under Microcebus murinus (gray mouse lemur). Its description in RNAcentral is "lncRNA (ENSMICG00000048413.1)". Lineage: Eukaryota; Metazoa; Chordata; Mammalia; Primates; Cheirogaleidae. The record is from RNAcentral.